Molecule: ribosomal RNA, 497 nt
Filed under: uncultured bacterium
Lineage: Bacteria
Description: partial 16S ribosomal RNA
Rfam family: Bacterial small subunit ribosomal RNA
Source: RNAcentral
GAUGAACGCUGGCGGCGUGCCUAAUACAUGCAAGUCGAGCGAACAGACGAGGAGCUUGCUCCUCUGACGUUAGCGGCGGACGGGUGAGUAACACGUGGAUAACCUACCUAUAAGACUGGGAUAACCUCGGGAAACCGGAGCUAAUACCGGAUAAUAUAUUGAACCGCAUGGUUCAAUAGUGAAAGACGGUUUUGCUGUCACUUAUAGAUGGAUCCGCGCCGCAUUAGCUAGUUGGUAAGGUAACGGCUUACCAAGGCAACGAUGCGUAGCCGACCUGAGAGGGCGAUCGGCCACACUGGAACUGAGACACGGUCCAGACUCCUACGGGAGGCAGCAGUAGGGAAUCUUCCGCAACGGGCGAAAGCUUGACGGAGCAACGCCGCGUGAGUGAUGAAGGUCUUCGGAUCGUAAAACUCUGUUAUUAGGGAAGAACAAAUGUGUAAGUAACUAUGCACGUCUUGACGGUACCUAAUCAGAAAGCCACGGCUAACUACGUG